This 331-nucleotide ribosomal RNA is filed under the name uncultured bacterium. Its description in RNAcentral is "bacterial SSU rRNA". It matches the Rfam family "Bacterial small subunit ribosomal RNA", at positions 568 to 898 of the family's 1533-position model. The record is from RNAcentral.
UGCGUAGGCGGUUGUUUAAGUUAGAUGUGAAAUCCCCGGGCUUAACCUGGGAAUUGCAUUUAAGACUGGAUGGCUAGAGUAGAGUAGAGGGAAGUGGAAUUUCCGGUGUAGCGGUGAAAUGCGUAGAUAUCGGAAAGAACAUCAGUGGCGAAGGCGGCUUCCUGGACUCAUACUGACGCUGAGGCACGAAAGCAUGGGGAGCAAACAGGAUUAGAUACCCUGGUAGUCCAUGCCGUAAACGAUGAUAACUAGAUGCUGGUAGGUUAAACUUAUCAGUAUCGAAGCAAACGCGAUAAGUUAUCCGCCUGGGGAGUACGGCCGCAAGGCUAAA